GCACUUGGUCUCUAAAAGGUUUGCCAUCACUGAGCUAGUCCAUACACAUUUUCAGAAGGAUUGAACUGCUUCCAAUCAGAGAGGGAGAGAAACAAGGUCUGAGGUUGAAUACAAAGCACAUGCAGAAGAUUAGAAGCCAUAGGUGGAAGGCAACCCUAAGUUAUGGCCACAGCCACCAGCUGAGAUCCUUUGUGUGUUGUUUACCUAUUUACGCAAACCAUCAGUCUUCCAUUUGGACAUGUUUGCUGCUGUUUCGGAAUUUGUCUGGAGAUUCCUCUGUCAUUACCGGAGUCAGGUGGUAAAUUUUAAAAAUAGCAUUGAGCCACAUUUUCAUAUUUCUGCCUUACAACCAAAAUCAAUAUGCCUGAUCUUUUUUGUAUAAUGAAGUGUAUAGCUAUUUGUGUUUAGCUUGUGCCAAAUACCUUAUCUUAUUAUCUUAUCAUCUUAAUAUUGCAUUCCAAUUUUGCUUUUCCUCUGGGACUUUAAGACUGUAUAUGGAAAGGGCUCUCUUAUUUCAUCUCCACAACAACUUGAGGCAGGUUCGACUGAAAAAACAGUGGCUGGCCUUAAGUCAUCCAGUGAACCUUUUUAGACUAAUGAGACUCGAAUGGGCCUCCCCUGGCCACUACUUUUAACUACAAUGCUUCGUUGGUCUUUGUCUCCUCUCACCAAACCAGGUUUUUUUUUGUGCACAGACAGCCUUCACAGCAAAGCUUCCCAAAGUGGAUUGUGGGAGUCAUGCACCAUUCAUUGCAGCUGAAACCACAAUGGAGGAGACAGAGGGCCUCCUUCUCCAUACUGAAGGUCAACCUCAGUAUUGCUGAACAAAUUCAAAUCCAAGAUCUUGGAGAAUUGCUGCUAAGACAAACUCUUGGAAGUACCAUGUAUGGAGAAUGAAGGAUCUGGCUCACCAGAAUUGAGCUUGUGAUUUCCCCUAUUUUGUGUGUUCCAAGAGCUGGCGGGAAUCUGAGUCGUCCUGCCUAUGCUUACGGCUGAGAUUGUUCCAUUUUGAUUUUUUUUUAAAAAAAAAAGCCUGACUUCCCCACGGAUGGGAGGUGGCGGAAAUGAGUCAGGGCAGAAUCUGGAAUAUGUUAAGAAUGGAAUCUGCCCCGCACUUGAGCCUGCUGGCUUUUCAAAUUUCAGCACUAGUUACCUCACGCCGUGCAGUUUUAUUGGUCAGAUUGAAAAUCCUACAUGAUUAGCAAUCAUCCUUGGGGCCAAUUCUCCCAUGAGCCACCCCUGCUGAAGAGGUUGCUGGAAACAUUUCUUCUGCGGAGGCAGCUCCUUAGAUUGGAAGGCUGGGUCUUCUGCUUUCCUUGGAAGGUGGCCGGGUUUCCUCCAGGCCCUUUCUUAGAGCUGCCUUUUCGGGAAGCCUUGCCAAGCAGAAUGCUACGGUCCUUUCCAUGCCUUUUGGGAGCUGCCAAUGCCUGGCACACAUGGUGAAGACCAAGCCGGGGGAGGAAAGGGCUGAGCCAGCAUUGGGGCGGGGUGAUACGAGCACAGAGGCAUGGGACACAUUUAUUCAGUAGUUUGGGGCUGAUGAGUUGCAGGUGAGCAGAUAACACAUGGUUUGGAUUUCAGAGAUUAAGGAGGAGGCGAUUGGAAACAUAUUGCUGGCUAAGCCAGCUGUCUCAUUCCAGGAGGGUGUGACCAGCAAAGAGCCAGAGCAGGCAGCCUUACCAGAAAUCAUACAGCAAGUCAAAAGCACAGGUCAUCCAGUCCAGUCCCUGCAGUCAACUACAGGUCAAGCCAAUCAGUCAAGACCACAAGCUGGCCACAGUCAUACAGCAAAUGUAUUUCUUGUGGUUAUUAAAGUUCCAGUGAGCAAAAAGCUCUGAGUGACUGAAGCCAGAGAGACAGGCUGUUUUUAUGACUUCAUGUGUAGCAUAGAUAAUCACGGUAAUUGCAACUUGGGAAGUCUCCUUCUCAAGACAGACCUCAUGUACUAAUUUUGCUUUUUGAAAUGUGGUGUCUUCCAGAUGUCUGAGAUGGCAUAACUCCCAAAGUUCCCUAUGAGUUUUGUAGUCCUAACACAUAUGGAAGAGAAUUUGGCUAAGAAGCCAGUUAACUGUUUUUUUAAAGCAAGUUGUUCUCUCUUAAAUGUCCCUUCACUAGGACUUUGGAAAUAAAUAAAGGCCUAUUUUAUAUGGCACUUAUAAGUUCAUUCUUUGUUAUGGCUAAGUAUAAGGUUAAUGGUGAAAAUGCUGCUGCUGCUGCUGUUAUAGAAAGAAACAAAAAGUUCUUCAAAGCAGGAGGCCUCAACUGAUCUUUCAACACCUUAUUUUGUAAUCAGUUUUGUCUCUGGCAUGUGCAUGUGAGGAUCCCAUCUAUUUGAAAGCAGCCCUGGAACUCUGCAAUCCCACUAUCUAGCUCACCACAAACAUACAAGAGAAAGGAAAAAGGAAAGGAAAGGAAAGGAAAGGAAAGGAAGGAAGAUUCCUAUUGCUUUCAAGUGUCUGCUUCCACAUUUGCAAGUCACUCUCUUUCAGCCCAAUUCACCAUUCAUGCUUGUUGUGAAAAACGGGAGGAAGAAAGAAUAAGUUAUGUGCACUGGCUCGAGUUAUUCAUAGAAAAAAUAAAGGCAGGAUUAAAAAUAAUUGAAUUAAAUAAAUAAACUGCUUCAGCUCCUUCCAAGGGAAAGGUAGCUUGACGGGCUUUGCACAUUUCCCUUAUAAUAAUUGCUGGAUUUUUUUCUGCAUAUAAGCAGAGAAAUUAUGAUAAAUAAGAAGAUGAACAAUAGAAAGAAAGCAGGUGAAAUAUUUAACAGAAUAACAGAAUUGGAAGGGACCUUGGAGAUCUUCUAGUCCACUCCCCUGCUCAGGCAGGAGACACUAUACCAUUUCAGACAAAUGGUUGUCCAAUUUUUAUUUCCCUUUUCCUUGGAAUGGGGAAUAAGGAAUUUCUUAUUUCUUCCAGAUGGGCAAUAAUUAUGUCUGCACAAAUGACCUUGUCUUGUACAGGGUGGGGGAGCCCAUUGGUUUACUCCCUACAAUCAAGUUAAAAUGCUACUCAUCCAUCCUUGAAGUGGCAGAAAAAUGAUACUGGUAUAAAAUAUGCUGUUCCCACCCCGACUGCCAAUCUCUACCCUCUGAUUGUGAUACCAAAUGGAAGUAUUCUGUUUGUUCUGUACAGGUCAAAUUAAGAAAGCAGAUGGAUGGAUUCCACCAGUUUUAUUUCUCUCUCUUUCCCGUGAUCACCAGCCAGCAGGAAAUGCCCACCAAUCAAGCUCUUUAAUGUGGUCUGGAGAGGAAAUGAGUUUUGAAAGAUAGCUGGAGCCAUUUGUCAAGAUGUGGUGCUGAGGCAGCUGAUUUGGGGGAUGGUGAAGGCUGCCUGGGAAAACAGAAGAGGCACUGCUGGUGAAGGCCGGCCCAUGAUUGCCCAAACACAGUUAGGAGGGGUAGUGGGAAAAGGGGGAAAUUGACUCCCCCCCUCCACUUUUUACCCACCAAAGUCCUGAUGCAAUGGAAUUGGGAGAAGCCAAUCUGUCAAGAUCUGUCAUGUAGUCCAGAAAACAGCUAGCAGAUAUGGGAGUGUGUGUGGAUGUAUGGCGAAGAAAGAGAGACCUGCUUCUCCACUCAGCCCCCCCCCCCAAAUGCCUGUCAGCUAUUUGGAGCACUAAUUUUAAACUAGGGUUUAGUGCUCUUCUGAAAGAAAAAUGCCUUCAUAUUCAGUUUGCUUUUGAACGUGGGUUUACCACUCUUUCAGAAAACAAAGCCAUCUUUAAAAGUUACGUGGCUGAGCGCUGUGCUCCAGAGACUGGGAAAGCUCUCUUCCAUUUUACUUCUCAGGGUCUGUCACGUGUACACAUGAUGCUUGUUUGCUGGUUUGUUUGUUUUUUAACAGCAUUUGGGGUUUAGCGUUUUCCUGCAAGGGUGGCAAGCCCAUGUUCAACAGGGGCUGAAAAACAGCUGAACAUCUGAAAAAUGGCUGAAGAUUGCAACUUGAAGCAAGGAAGACCUGUUUCUGCCGUUUCACCCUGCAAUCCACCCUCCCCCUAUUUCUAUCUUCAGAGAUCUGCUGUUCAGGAUCAUUCAUAUCUCCAAGUUGGGAUUUACACCUGGUUGUUACAGUCAAGUAGCCUGGUUUGAAAGAGCUGAGCUGUUUGCCUACACCAAGCAGAAUGGUCUUAGAACAAUGAUGACAUAAGUGUCAAAGAUGACAUGCCACAAUGUUUUUGGUAACACACUAGCAUUCGCUAUCAUCCUGAUAACAAUUAUUUUGGAAAGCACGCCCCAUUCUCAAGAACGCUCUCAUGCAGCCUCCAAAAGUCAUAGGAGAGGAACGUGCUUUCAUGUGGCCUCAGAAAAAUUGUGUGAAAAUGGCUUGUGUUUUUGCACUGUUUUCAGAGGCUGCAAAGGCCACAAAAGAGCAUUCUCUGAAGCUGCCUCCAGAAUGAAAGCCUUGUGUGACCUGGAACUGGCUUGGGUAGGCCGCAAGGGCCGGUUAACAGAAAGAGAAGACCUCUUGAAGACAGAUGUACACAGACACGUCCAUCAAGAAUGCACCAGUCUUGGAUUUUGUUUUUUGUUUUUGAAAAAGAAAACUACAGCCCAUGAACAUUCAACAGGUACUUCACAAAAACACCAAUCAGGUUGAUGCAAAUUGAACAGAUGUCAUCCCCUGUCCAUUCCAUCGACCCCAUUGUCAGUGAGACAUUGUGGAUCAUUUAUAGGCCACGAUUUGUAUGGGAAGAAGGAAAACACAAUUUUAAACUGGAACAACUACUAAAUAUGAAUGUAAGCUGGCUCCACGGUGGGUUGUGAAUGAGAGAAAAAAAUCAGUGCCAUGAGAAUAUACCCUCCAAAAAUGAUUUGUGAGAAAUCUUAAUGGUAUAAUGGGAGGGUUAUGAAGUGGAGGCUUUAAGAAACUAACAGAAGGAGAAGUGAAAGUAUGCAGUUUGACUGUCCCAUAAAAAAGGAAUUAUAUUUAAUAUAAGAUACUUUCUCAGAACAAAAGUAAGCCUAUUAAAAUGGUACCAAAAUC
Molecule: long non-coding RNA, 4983 nt
Organism: Crotalus tigris (Tiger rattlesnake)
Lineage: Eukaryota; Metazoa; Chordata; Lepidosauria; Squamata; Viperidae
Exons: 2
Source: RefSeq, a predicted model, not a curated record